This 433-nucleotide ribosomal RNA is filed under the name uncultured bacterium. RNAcentral describes it as "partial 16S ribosomal RNA". It matches the Rfam family "Bacterial small subunit ribosomal RNA", at positions 29 to 507 of the family's 1533-position model. The record is from RNAcentral.
AACGAACGCUGGCGGCAUGCCUAACACAUGCAAGUCGAACGAGACCUUCGGGUCUAGUGGCGCACGGGUGCGUAACGCGUGGGAACCUGCCCUUAGGUUCGGAAUAACUCCCCGAAAGGGGUGCUAAUACCGGAUAAUGUCUUCGGACCAAAGAUUUAUCGCCUUUGGAUGGGCCCGCGUUGGAUUAGCUAGUUGGUAGGGUAAAAGCCUACCAAGGCGACGAUCCAUAGCUGGUCUGAGAGGAUGAUCAGCCACACUGGGACUGAGACACGGCCCAGACUCCUACGGAAGGGAGGAGUGGGGAAUAUUGGACAAUGGGCGAAAGCCUGAUCCAGCAAUGCCGGGUGAGUGAUGAAGGCCUUAGGGUUGUAAAGCUCUUUUACCCGGGAUGAUAAUGACAGUACCGGGAGAAUAAGCACCGGCUAACUCCGUG